CUUCUACUUCUCCAUGCUGACAAAUAACAGGUAACUUCUAAUAGGUGUCCAUAUUGACAAAUUACAGGUAACUUCUAAUAGGUGUCCAUAUUGACAAAUUACAGGUAACUUCUAACAGUUGUCCAUAUUGACAAAUUAUAGGUAACUUCUAAUAGGUGUCCAUAUUGACAAAUUACAGGUAACUUCAAGUAAAUGUCCAUAUUGACAUAUCAGAUGACCUCUUCUAGUUGUCCGAGUUGACAAAUUAGAGGUUAUUAUCUUCAGUAAUGCAUCAUGAUAAGUUACAAGUAACUAACUCCCUUUAGUUGUUCACCUCGACAAAUUAUUAGUGACUACAUCUAGAUAUCCACUUUGACAAGUUAUAGGUUUCCAGGUUGGUAAGCUACAGGUUACCUCCUUUAUAGUUAUCCACGUUAAGAAACUACAAUUGACUCUCUUUAGCUGUCCAAGUAAACAAGUAAUAGGUUACACCAUCUGGUCUUCGUGUUGAAAAUUUUCUUAAUUACAAUUUUGUUUGUUGUUAACCGCAAAGUUACG
Molecule: long non-coding RNA, 537 nt
Organism: Limulus polyphemus (Atlantic horseshoe crab)
Lineage: Eukaryota; Metazoa; Arthropoda; Merostomata; Xiphosura; Limulidae
Exons: 3
Source: RefSeq, a predicted model, not a curated record